GACAGAGGUCCCGAGCGUUAGGCGGAAUCACUGGGCUUAAAGCGUGUGUAGGCGGAUUGGUAAGUACCUUGUGAAAUCCCACGGCUCAACCGUGGAACUGCUUGGUAUACUGCUUAUCUUGGGCCACUUAGGGGCUACCGGAACAAACGGUGGAGCGGUGAAAUGCGUAGAUAUCGUUUGGAACGCCAAUGGUGAAAACAGGUAGCUGGGAGUGUGCCGACGCUGAGACACGAAAGCCAGGGGAGCGAACGGG
Molecule: ribosomal RNA, 253 nt
Filed under: uncultured bacterium
Lineage: Bacteria
Description: partial 16S ribosomal RNA
Rfam family: Bacterial small subunit ribosomal RNA
Source: RNAcentral